Molecule: long non-coding RNA, 293 nt
Filed under: Eucalyptus grandis
Lineage: Eukaryota; Viridiplantae; Streptophyta; Magnoliopsida; Myrtales; Myrtaceae
Description: long non-coding RNA (EGRA_LNC006919)
Source: RNAcentral
GUCCGAGGAGAGAGGACACGCGUCGGAGACCCAGAGGGUCCUCUCCUCGCUAGAUUCCUGGAAGCCGCAAGCACGGACCGUGAAGGUCACCGACGGUUCCGAACCAGGUCUCGAGGUCCGGUCUGCUCCAAUCCGGAUCGCGCGAGCUGCUCCGCCGCGACCCGUCUUGGAACUCGCGAGCUCGAAGACCUGCGGUGAGUCCGAGUCCGGCUCGGUCCAUGCUGCCGAGUCGGGCAACGCGCAAAUCCACGACCAAACGUCCAACAUCUUUGCUAACCGAUUCCACCUGUCCG